GAUGAACGCUGGCGGCGUGCCUAAUACAUGCAAGUCGAGCGAACGGACGAGAAGCUUGCUUCUCUGAUGUUAGCGGCGGACGGGUGAGUAACACGUGGAUAACCUACCUAUAAGACUGGGAUAACUUCGGGAAACCGGAGCUAAUACCGGAUAAUAUUUUGAACCGCAUGGUUCAAAAGUGAAAGACGGUCUUGCCGUCACUUAUAGAUUGAUCCGCGCUGCAUUAGCUAGUUGGUAAGGUAACGGCUUACCAAGGCAACGAUGCAUAGCCGACCUGAGAGGGUGAUCGGCCACACUGGAACUGAGACACGGUCCAGACUCCUACGGGAGGCAGCAGUAGGGAAUCUUCCGCAAUGGGCGAAAGCCUGACGGAGCAACGCCGCGUGAGUGAUGAAGGUCUUCGGAUCGUAAAACUCUGUUAUUAGGGAAGAACAUAUGUGUAAGUAACUGUGCACAUCUUGACGGUACCUAAUCAGAAAGCCACGGCUAACUACGUG
This 497-nucleotide ribosomal RNA is filed under the name uncultured bacterium. RNAcentral describes it as "partial 16S ribosomal RNA". It matches the Rfam family "Bacterial small subunit ribosomal RNA", at positions 28 to 507 of the family's 1533-position model. The record is from RNAcentral.